RNAcentral lists this ribosomal RNA (253 nucleotides) under uncultured bacterium. RNAcentral describes it as "partial 16S ribosomal RNA". It matches the Rfam family "Bacterial small subunit ribosomal RNA", at positions 524 to 776 of the family's 1533-position model. The record is from RNAcentral.
GACAGAGGGUGCAAACGUUGUUCGGAAUUACUGGGCGUAAAGGGCGCGUAGGCGGCCCGUCAAGUCCCGUGUGAAAGCCCCCGGCUCAACCGGGGAACGGCGCGGGAAACUAGCAGGCUUGAGUUCGGGAGAGGGAAGCGGAAUUCCGGGUGCAGCGGUGAAAUGCGCAGAUAUCCGGAGGAACACCGGUGGCGAAGGCGGCUUCCUGGACCGACACUGACGCUGAGGCGCGAAAGCUAGGGGAGCAAACGGG